This is a long non-coding RNA of Dreissena polymorpha, 364 nucleotides long. RefSeq lists it as uncharacterized. NCBI's taxonomy places the organism in Eukaryota, Metazoa, Mollusca, Bivalvia, Myida, Dreissenidae. The record is from RefSeq and is a predicted model, not a curated record. The transcript has 3 exons.
AUUAAUAUAAUAAAAAGUGUUAUGUAGAUAAAUAACCAAUAAUUUGAUAUUCUACAGGUUGGAAAGUUAUUUUUCAAGACCCCGAGGAAGUGUGAGGUGUAUGGAAUUAGCUGUGAAGGAUCUGGAAAGCAGGUGUUUUACCUCGCAGACGAAGGCCAGUCACAUGGUAAAGGUGCAAAUGCUGUGGUCAACCAGGUUCACCACUACCUCAACACAUACGGUCUUGGCGAACAGCGUGCUCACUUUCAGUGUGACAACUGUUGCGGCCAAAAUAAAAACAACAUAGUCAUCUGGUACCUUCUGUGGAGAGUUCUUGUAGAAACUCAAUGCAGAAAUGUUGUCUGAUGUCGCUGCAUCUGUGGGG